AUGCUGGGAACUUCAAGAGCAACCAGGCCUGUUCACAGUUCAGAGACAUGGGGACAGCCUCACCUGGAGCCCCGUGACGUGGACACCCUGCCUGCUCACUCUUCCUGCCCAGUGGAUGUGCACAGCAAGCUGAGCUGUGUGCAAGUCUCCUCUCCUCGGUCUCCGACACCUGCUCCAGGUGGCUCUUCUCUCCCACCCCCCGAACCCGAGGUCACGAAGCUGCUUUUGUUUGGUCACCAAUGGCACCCACAAAUAUGGGCAUUCAGAUAUACUGGAAAAAUACGUGGAUAGAUCCUUUUGUUAACAGGCAAAAUAAAAGGGGUCAUGUUAUAUAAAUGAGCUGCUUU
Molecule: long non-coding RNA, 347 nt
Filed under: Sus scrofa (pig)
Lineage: Eukaryota; Metazoa; Chordata; Mammalia; Artiodactyla; Suidae
Description: lncRNA (ENSSSCG00015034786.1)
Source: RNAcentral